CAAACACUAAGUUGACUGUGCCUUUAAACAGCUUGGAAAAAUCCAGAAAAUGAUGUAAUGGCUUUAGAAGCUUCUGAUAGGCUAAUUGACAUACUUUGAGUCAAUUGGAGGUGUACCUGUGGAUGCAUUUCAAGGCCUACCUUCAAAAUCAGUGCCUCUUUGCUUGACAUCAUGGGAAAAUCAAAAGAAAUCAGCCAAGACCUCAGAAAAUUGAAAACCUCCACAAGUCUGGUUCAUCCUUGGGAGCAAUUUCCUGAAGGUAUCACGUUCAUCUGUACAAACAAUAGUACGCAAGUAUAAAUACCAUGGGACCACGCAGCCUUCAUACCGCUCAGGAAGGAGACGCGUUCUGUCUCCUGGAGAUGAACGUACUUUUGUGCCAAAAAGUGCAAAUCAAUCCCAGAACAGCAGCAAAGGACCUUAUGUAGAUGCUGGAGGAAACAGGUACAAAAGCAUCUACAUCCACAGUAAAAUGGGUCCUACAGUAAAACUUCUGACCCACUGGGAAUGUGAUGAAAGAAAUAAAAGCUGAAAUAAAUAAUUCUCUCUAUUAUUCUGACAUUUCACAUUCUUAAAAUGAAGUGGUGAUCCUAACUGACAUAUGACAGGCAAUUUUUACUAGGAUUAAAUGUCAGGAAUUGUAAAAAAAAAAAAAAAGAGUUUAAAUGUAUUUGGCUAAGGUGUAUGUAAAUUUCCGACUUCAACUGUAGGACCUGGAUGACAGGAAGCUUGGCCCCAGUGAUGUACUGUGCCAUUCGCACUACCCUCUGUAGCACCUUACAGUCAGGAUGCUCUCGAUGGUGUAGCUGUAGAUCCCUUUGAGGAUCUGGGGGCCCAUGCCAAAUCUUUUCAGUCUCCUGAGGGGGAAAAGGUUUUGUCGUGCCCUCUUCACAACAGUCUUGCUAUGUUUGGACCAUGAUAGUUUGUUGGUAAUGUGGACACCAAGGAACUUGAAACUCUCAACCCGCUCCACUACAGCCCCGUUGAUGUUAAAUGGGGGCCUGUUCGGCCCACCUUUUCCUGUAGUCCAACAUCAGCUCCUUUGUCUUGCUCACAUUGAGGGAGAGGUUGUUGUCCUGGCACCACACUGCCAGUUCUCUGACCUCCUCCCUAUAGGCUGUCUCAUCGUUGUUGAUGAUCAGGUCCACCACUGGUGUGUCGUCAGCAAACUGAAUGAUUGUGUUGGAGUCGUGUUUGGCCACACAGUCGUGGGUGAACAGGGAAUACAGGAGGGGACUAAGUACACACCCAAUUCCCUUGGCACUUCUCGGUGGAUGCUGCAGUGUACCCAAGUGGCAUCGGGAGCAACUGCUUGCACGCGCGUUACCACUCCACUAUGUCUCCCUGUCAUGGCUUUUGUGCAAUUAAUACAGACACCAAAACAUCUUGACCACCCAAAUUAAUUUGAUGUCACAAAGCUGUCCAGUACUUUAAAAAUAUCCUCAUGUUGUCCUAGUUUUCAGUGGAUUGCAGAAGAGGAUGUCUUCCUUAAUUGACACCACAUAAAAGUAACGGACAUAUACCAGGAGCUGUGCCAGGCCCGCCACGUCUGUUGACUCAUCCAGCUGCAAUGCAUUGAAUUCACUGGCUUGUAAGCAA
Oncorhynchus tshawytscha (Chinook salmon) is the source of this 1599-nucleotide long non-coding RNA. The record is from Ensembl. Lineage: Eukaryota; Metazoa; Chordata; Actinopteri; Salmoniformes; Salmonidae.